Molecule: ribosomal RNA, 1689 nt
Filed under: Escherichia coli
Lineage: Bacteria; Pseudomonadati; Pseudomonadota; Gammaproteobacteria; Enterobacterales; Enterobacteriaceae
Description: bacterial LSU rRNA
Rfam family: Bacterial large subunit ribosomal RNA
Source: RNAcentral
AUGCUGGAGGUAUCAGAAGUGCGAAUGCUGACAUAAGUAACGAUAAAGCGGGUGAAAAGCCCGCUCGCCGGAAGACCAAGGGUUCCUGUCCAACGUUAAUCGGGGCAGGGUGAGUCGACCCCUAAGGCGAGGCCGAAAGGCGUAGUCGAUGGGAAACAGGUUAAUAUUCCUGUACUUGGUGUUACUGCGAAGGGGGGACGGAGAAGGCUAUGUUGGCCGGGCGACGGUUGUCCCGGUUUAAGCGUGUAGGCUGGUUUUCCAGGCAAAUCCGGAAAAUCAAGGCUGAGGCGUGAUGACGAGGCACUACGGUGCUGAAGCAACAAAUGCCCUGCUUCCAGGAAAAGCCUCUAAGCAUCAGGUAACAUCAAAUCGUACCCCAAACCGACACAGGUGGUCAGGUAGAGAAUACCAAGGCGCUUGAGAGAACUCGGGUGAAGGAACUAGGCAAAAUGGUGCCGUAACUUCGGGAGAAGGCACGCUGAUAUGUAGGUGAAGUCCCUCGCGGAUGGAGCUGAAAUCAGUCGAAGAUACCAGCUGGCUGCAACUGUUUAUUAAAAACACAGCACUGUGCAAACACGAAAGUGGACGUAUACGGUGUGACGCCUGCCCGGUGCCGGAAGGUUAAUUGAUGGGGUUAGCCGCAAGGCGAAGCUCUUGAUCGAAGCCCCGGUAAACGGCGGCCGUAACUAUAACGGUCCUAAGGUAGCGAAAUUCCUUGUCGGGUAAGUUCCGACCUGCACGAAUGGCGUAAUGAUGGCCAGGCUGUCUCCACCCGAGACUCAGUGAAAUUGAACUCGCUGUGAAGAUGCAGUGUACCCGCGGCAAGACGGAAAGACCCCGUGAACCUUUACUAUAGCUUGACACUGAACAUUGAGCCUUGAUGUGUAGGAUAGGUGGGAGGCUUUGAAGUGUGGACGCCAGUCUGCAUGGAGCCGACCUUGAAAUACCACCCUUUAAUGUUUGAUGUUCUAACGUGGACCCGUGAUCCGGGUUGCGGACAGUGUCUGGUGGGUAGUUUGACUGGGGCGGUCUCCUCCUAAAGAGUAACGGAGGAGCACGAAGGUUGGCUAAUCCUGGUCGGACAUCAGGAGGUUAGUGCAAUGGCAUAAGCCAGCUUGACUGCGAGCGUGACGGCGCGAGCAGGUGCGAAAGCAGGUCAUAGUGAUCCGGUGGUUCUGAAUGGAAGGGCCAUCGCUCAACGGAUAAAAGGUACUCCGGGGAUAACAGGCUGAUACCGCCCAAGAGUUCAUAUCGACGGCGGUGUUUGGCACCUCGAUGUCGGCUCAUCACAUCCUGGGGCUGAAGUAGGUCCCAAGGGUAUGGCUGUUCGCCAUUUAAAGUGGUACGCGAGCUGGGUUUAGAACGUCGUGAGACAGUUCGGUCCCUAUCUGCCGUGGGCGCUGGAGAACUGAGGGGGGCUGCUCCUAGUACGAGAGGACCGGAGUGGACGCAUCACUGGUGUUCGGGUUGUCAUGCCAAUGGCACUGCCCGGUAGCUAAAUGCGGAAGAGAUAAGUGCUGAAAGCAUCUAAGCACGAAACUUGCCCCGAGAUGAGUUCUCCCUGACCCUUUAAGGGUCCUGAAGGAACGUUGAAGACGACGACGUUGAUAGGCCGGGUGUGUAAGCGCAGCGAUGCGUUGAGCUAACCGGUACUAAUGAACCGUGAGGCUUAACCUUACAACGCCGAAG